UACGUAGGGUGCAAGCGUUGUCCGGAAUUAUUGGGCGUAAAGAGCUCGUAGGCGGUCUGUCGCGUCGGCUGUGAAAACUCGGGGGCUCAACUCCGAGCCUGCAGUCGAUACGGGCAGACUAGAGUGCGGUAGGGGGAGACUGGAAUUCCUGGUGUAGCGGUGAAAUGCGCAGAGUAUCAGGAGGAACACCGGUGGCGAAGGCGGGUCUCUGGGCCGAUACUGACGCUGGAG
RNAcentral lists this ribosomal RNA (231 nucleotides) under uncultured bacterium. Its description in RNAcentral is "partial 16S ribosomal RNA". It matches the Rfam family "Bacterial small subunit ribosomal RNA", at positions 524 to 751 of the family's 1533-position model. The record is from RNAcentral.